AUACCAGCUGCCUGCCCCUCCUGCAGCCCACUCGGGACGUGGACCUCAUCCUGUCAUUGGACUACAACCUCCACGGAGCCUUCCAGCAGUUGCAGCUCCUGGGCCGGUUCUGCCAAGAGCAGGGGAUCCCGUUCCCGCCCAUCUCGCCCAGCCCCAAAGAGCAGCUCCAGCCUCGGGAGUGCCACACCUUCUCCCACCCCACCUGCCCUGGAGCCCCUGCGGUGCCGCACUUUCCUCUGGUCAGCGACUCCUUCCGGGAGUACUCGGCCCCUGGUGAGCUGCUGUUUACCUCCCCAUCCUGCUGCCCCAGUCCCCCACACCUCCUCCGUCCCCUGUGCCUCUCCAAACCCGUCUUCCCCACGCCACGCUGCACUCUCUCCACAGGGAUCCGGCGGCCACCCGAGGAGGCGGCAGUUGGGGAGGUGAACCUGUCUUCAUCGGACUCUCCCUACCACUACACGAAGGUGACCUACAGCCAGGAGGACGUGGACAAGCUGCUGCACCUGACACAUUACAAUGUCUGCAACAACCAGGAGCAGCUGCUGGAGGCUCUGCACCAGGCAGUGCAGCGGAGGCGGCAGCGCAGGCCCCACUGAUGGCUGGGGCCCCUGCCACCCCUAACUAACUAACUCUCAUUCAUUCCCUGGCUGCUGAGUUGCAGGUGGGAACUGUCAUCACGCAGUGCUUCAGAGCCUCGGGCUCAGGUGGCACUGUCCCAGGGUCCAGGCUGAGGGCUGGGAGCUCCCUUGCGCCUCAGCAGUUUGCAGUGGGGUAAGGAGGCCAAGCCCAUUUGUGUAAUCACCCCAAACCCCCCGGCCUGUGCCUGUUUUCCCUUCUGCGCUACCUUGAGUAGUUGGAGCACUUGAUACAUUACAGACUCAUACAAAUGUGAGGCGCUGAGAAGGGCCAUGUCAUUCUAGGCUCUUGGCUGUACAUGGCAAGGGCUGGUACAGAGCUCGCUCAUCAGUGUUCUUCCUCCGAAGAGCACAUUCUCUGCACACAUCUGCGUCUACCUGUGCUCAGAGUCACCCCUUCCAAGCAAGGAGGCGGCCACAUGGGCCUGGGGUAGCCCUGGCCUUGCCCACCUGCUCUGCCGUAACACGUCUCCUCUUCAUCCAGACAGGAAUGCAGGGGGAGACCAGGCAAUGGCUGUUUCCUGCCACAUGGUAGGACCCAUCUAACCAGAAGGAACUGUCUAUUCCAGAAGCUGGGCCUGGGGAACUGGGUUGAAGGAGCCCUUUUGCCUGUAGCUGAGUCUCAUUCUGGUUCCUUAGAUGUGUCCUCGCUUGUGCCCCUGAAGUUUGGUGUUGCACUGGGGUUCACCUCAGGGAUCAGACCUGUUGGGAAAACGGAAUGAAUUUAGUAGGGUAUGGCCACCCCAGAAUCUUCUCCAAACAAACAAACACUGGUGCCCCUGCCCUCCCCUGGACCAGCCAGCCUCCUAGAA
This 1447-nucleotide long non-coding RNA is filed under the name Pan troglodytes (chimpanzee). Its description in RNAcentral is "lncRNA (ENSPTRG00000053023.1)". The record is from RNAcentral. Lineage: Eukaryota; Metazoa; Chordata; Mammalia; Primates; Hominidae.